Molecule: long non-coding RNA, 1595 nt
Filed under: Medicago truncatula (barrel medic)
Lineage: Eukaryota; Viridiplantae; Streptophyta; Magnoliopsida; Fabales; Fabaceae
Description: lncRNA gene31619
Source: RNAcentral
UUGUGCUUCCCCCAUUUGUCUCCACCUAUUCCCACUAGUGGAAGACUCCACCUCAAACCGAGUCUUCUUCAUCUCAACUUCCAAAUGUGUACAUCUGUUAUGCCUUUCACAUUGUUGUUGGGUAUUGGGCUCCUUUCUUAUGUGGAGAAAAGCCAAAAGAUGUUAGUCCAUUAUGUCUCACUUAUAUAAGUGUAGAUAUGUCAUGUUAGGGUUCAAAAGAGUGUCUUUUUGGUGAGAAGAGUAUCCUCCAAAAGAGAGAAAAGAAGAGUGAAAGUCAAUUUCAUUUUUCUCAAGUUUUUGCCACUAAAUUAGCGAUUUUGAAUUCGUUAACCAUUGGCUAGGACUGGUUUUUAGAGAGAAGAUUCGCAGCACAUAGGUCUUCCUUUUCAUCGUUCGGUUUGUUGAAGCGUCUAAGUAGAGAUAUAUCUUUAUCGCAUUGAAGUAGUAUUUUUAGGUUUUUUUUUUUAUCUUUCUUGUUCCCCAUUGUAAGCUUUAAUCUCAUAAUUGGAGCCAAGGUGUGUCAAUUGAAGAAGGUCUUAUAUGUACUAAAGCAGUUGUCUCGUCUAUGUUUUGGAAGAUUCAAAAAGGCAAUGGUGUGAUUGGGCUAUAAGAAAAGCCAAUGAGAUCACACUUUGUUUUUCAUACAUGAGAUUAUACGAUUUGGAGACACUGCUCAAAGAGAAAUCAUCAUUAGAGUUUGAGAUGAAGGACCUUGAGCAACUCGAGUAUUUCUUGGGAAUUGAGGUAGCCUACUCAAAGCAAGAAAUUUUUCUCUCUCAAAGGAAGUAAGUGUUUGAGCUUUUACAGGAAAUAGGAAAAUCUGGAUGCAAACCUGCAAGUGUUCCCAUUGAGGAAAAUCACAUAAUUCGUUUUAGGAGGAAAGUGCCAAAGUUUAUAACGGUAAAUAUUAAAGAUUAGCGGGAAAACUGAUUUAUUUGGCACACACUAGACUGGAUUUUGUGGCGAUUCAAUUCAUGCAUGAUCCGAGGGGGGGACACAUUCAACCUAUAGACCAUGCUAUGCAAUAUCUGAAAGCCACUUCAAGGAGAUGACUCUUGUUUAAAAGAGGUUAAAGUUUAUCUAUAGAGGCUUACACUAAUGUUGAUUAUGCAGGUUCAUUGAGUGAUGGAAGAACGACUUUAGGUUGUUAUAUUAUCUUGUGUGGGAAACUUGUGGCUUGGAGGAUUAAGAAGCAAAGUGAAGUUGCUCGAUCAAACACUAAGGCAGAAUUUAGAGAUAUGACACUGGAAGUUUAUGAACUAUUGUGGAUGAAACUAGUACUAGAAGAUUUGAAGAUACGAUGUGAAGGCUCUAUGAAGUUGUUUUUUGACAAUAAAUAAGCCAUUAGCACUAAAUAUAGGGCUGGCAAUGAACCGAACCAACUCGAUUAUAGUUCGACAUUCGACUCGAUAUCUAAUCCGUUGAACUUGGUUCAUGAACCUAACGAGCUGGACUUGAGCUGAAAAUUAAGUUCGUUAAUUAAAUGAGCUGAACUUGAGCUACAUAUAGUUCGACUUGUUAGGCUCAUGAGAUGGCUCGAUUAUUGAUUAUAUAUAUAAAUCAAUUUGAGUUAGUUUUUAAAAAAAAAAUAAUUC